This 22-nucleotide non-coding RNA is filed under the name Arabidopsis thaliana (thale cress). Lineage: Eukaryota; Viridiplantae; Streptophyta; Magnoliopsida; Brassicales; Brassicaceae. The record is from RNAcentral.
AGCGUACUUGUGGUCCGGUGGU